AUUCAGCUGAGACUCUCUUGAGCAAAUUUUCCAAGACUCCUUAAGGGGAAGGACCUGGUCCAAGUUGACUUGGUGUCUCCGUCAUCAAGCACAAUGCCUGGUUCACAAUGGACUCUUCAUGCAUCUCUUUCUACAAGAUGAGAAGGAUCAGAGGGCUGCUGGAGGAAGUAAAGAAGAAAAUAUAAACAGCAGUUAGCAUGAUGCCUGGCACAUGGUGUGCAUUCAGGAUAUAACUGGGGCCUUUGGGAACCAGGCAAUAUUCCAGACACACAUGACAUCAGUAACAUCCAUAUGUCUGUGAUGGGGUAGGAGAGAAGACUACUUUUCAGGUGGGACAUUUUGAUUGGAGAGGGUCUCUGAUUCAGAGAGUGAGGGCUUGUUUCUGAGAGUGUGCACGGAGAUUGAAGGGCAGGGGCUCAUGUGACAGUGUGAAGCAGGAAUUCUGACCGUUGGCCAAACCAAGCCCUGAAACUCAAGUUCUGUUUGGGAGUGAGAGGCAGAAAGCCUUGGAGGCAGCUUCAAUUAGAAGCUAAUUUUACUAAUUAGAAAAUUGGUAUCAGAAGGACGAUUGAACGUGUCCAACGUCACACAGCCAGUAAGGAGAGGGGCCUGGACUGGAGCAGACCUGUCUGAUUCACUCAGACAGGACUGGAGCAGACCCUUGCUUUAUUCACUCAAUAGUUUUUUCCAAAGGCUUUUUAAGAAGAGGACUUUGGAGUUGUAAAGAAUUUAGAUACGUGGAAAUGAGAGAAAGGCCUUCCAGGCAGAGGAAACAGGAUGAACAAAGUCUUGGCAGGAAGCAUGGUUAUGUCCCCUGAAGCCCUGGUCCACAUGAAGCUCUUCCUGCUUUUCUUCAGAGGAAGAUGCAGGAGCUGGUUAAUGGAAUGGAUUUUGCAUUCAGACAUCUCUUGGGGCUGCCUGUAGGUGGAUAUGUUCAUGGAAGACGGUGAAAAAGACAAGAAUAGGAUUUGCUGUAUAGAAUCACUAUAGUCACCAUCACACUGAGUAUCAACAACAUCUCUUGUUAUCCUCACAACUGUGCAAAACAGAUAUCCGACAGAGAGAAAGAGAAUGUGAUUGACUCUUAACUAGAGUCACGCACCACUCUGGAUCAAUCAUCUGAGGCCUGGGAGAAGUGUCAUAACACAGGUACUGUAGCCUUUUGGCAAGGUUUUUUUAUUUUUUUAAUUUUUAUUAUUUAUUUUAUUUUAUUUUAUUUUUGAGACGGAGUUUUACUCUUUCGCCCAGGCUGGAGUGCAGUGGCACAAUCUCAACUCACUGCGACUUCCUCUUCCCAGGUUCAAGUGAUACUCCUACCUCGGCCUCCAGAGUAGCUGGGAUUACAGGCUCGCACCACCACGCCCAGCUGAUUUUUGUAGUUUUAGUAGAGAUGGGGUUUCACCAUGUUGGCCAGGCUGGCCUCAAACUCCAGCAAGGUCAAUAUUUUAAAAACCAUGUAAGGAAGAAGGAAUUGAGGGAGAGUCACUAACUGGGGUCCCAAUGGCAUUAGCUUUUUGGCACUAGACAAGUUCCUAAACCAUAAAGUGGCUGAGUAGGAAGUGGUUUAUCCCACGUACAUACAGUUGUGCACCUUUAGAAUUAUUAACCGGUUAACAUUCCGGAGUGACCCCCAUUCUGGCAAGACUAGGACUAAAGAAACUCUGUUUGCCUUUUGGCUGAUGACAGGGCUCAGCAUGACAGGGCUCAGCAAUACCUCCCCUUACAACAGAAGUAUGAAGCAGAUCUUGAGGAAUCUGAGAAAGAUUAGAAUCUCUCUCCCUUUUUGUUUUAUAGCACAGUAUAUCAUAAUGGCACUGGGCUAUAGUUGAUUCAGUUAGCUGUUAAUUGAACAUCUAUUAUGCUCAAAACACUUUGGGGUCUAUAGGCCAAUCAACAUGGGGACUAUUCUCUAAGAAGCUGUUAUGCAAACUCCACUUGAACAGAGUGCAAUGGUUGUUUAGAAGAUAAGCUCUGACAAAUGAUUUGGGAACAAAAAAAGGCUCCAUGUAGUCAGGAAAAAGAGAUGUCAGUGAAGUUGGGGGGCUGUUUAGGACAUUAGGGAGAGAAAAACACAGUCUCUAGACAGUACGGAAGAGAAGGCUUUCCUUAAAAGAAAUAUCAAAGAGAUUUUAGGUUGUUAACUUUGGUGCACAAUGUAAACUCAUAUUUACCCCAUGGAAUCUUCAGUAAAUAUUACAUUAUUCACUGAUUUAUCAGAGUCAAUUUUUGGGGGGCCCUUUAAGAAGACAGGUUAGGGCAGCACAUAUACAAACUACCCAAGUAGGGGAAAAAUGCGUGGACUCAUUCUCAAGUUGUUUAUAAUAUGUAGGUGAAGGUCAUCACCCUAGGAUGGCGACUUUGAAAUUCCUAGUCAUCUAUCAGUCUGCCAAUCAGUUAAGCAAAGUAUUGAAAUAACACCCCAUGUGACUAUGUGACCAUCAUAGGACAUGAAAGUAUUGACUGCCUUGACUAACUGUUUGAACUCUACACUGUUUUAUUGUGGGGGGGCACAAAAUGAAAUGACACAGAACCCCUGCCCCUUGGGAACCCACAGCCUAUUGGUGAAAACAGACACAUAAACAUGUAAAAAUAUAAGACAUAAAAUGAAUCAAUAUGACACCAUAAUUGAACUUCAGUAAAGAAAUAAUCUUCAACAAACAUUGACACAUUCCAAGGACAGCAGAAACUCUGAACCAAGAGCGCUGAACUCAGAAAGCCCCUUGAUGUGUGAUGAUUGUUGGACAUUUCUGACAGCAUCACUAUUAGCUGUAUUGAUAACACUUGGGAAAGGUCAAGUUUUGCAAAGACUUUCUGCCCACCAAGAAUAGCAAGGAAUCGAUUGAUUCUGAGCACAAAAACAAUGUCAGAAGCUAGAGGGAAAUGCAGUGCGAUUGCUAUUACUGGGAAGCUCCCCUUCUCUCAAAUAAAUGUCCUGGGAAAUCUACAUUCAACUUCCUGUAGUUAGACUGUUGGACUCUUUGAAUACUCUUGGACCUUUAGCUUUUCACUAGCUUGGUCUUUUGUACCUUCAGUCUGAGCUCAUAGGCUAAUAAUUAAGGAUGUCUUCAUUGACUAUUUAAGGUAACAUCCUUCCGCCAUCACUGUGCUAACACCACACUAAUAAUUUAUUUUUUUGCACUUAAUAUGAAGUCAUCUUCAAUAUUUUAAGUUUGCCUCUUUACCUGUGGCUUGUUCCUCAUUCUCUUCUAGAAUAAAAGCUUCAUGAGUGCAAGAACUACGAUUAUCUUGUAGACAGGGUAGAGGCUAGCCUAAACUAGAUUCCUGUGCACCUCUGCGUGAAUUAGAAAAAAACACCCUCUCCAAAAAGGUGGGUUAGAAAAAGUCACAUCUUCUUGGUAGAUGCCGGUUGCAUGGGUUCAUAGCUUUGACGAGUGGAUUUCAACCCCUCGCUUUUCUUCGGCAUGUCGUACAAGAACUUCAGAAAUAUAUGUUGCAGCCCUGCUUGUCUAGUGCUAUUUGGGAUCACCCCUGGCACAUAGUGAAUGAAUCAAUAUGAUACCGUAAUUGAAUAAGAGGAGACCAUAAUACCCUCUUAGACCUACCAAACAAUCCAUGUUAUACAGCAAUAUCUUAUAUAGGAACAACAACAAUAAAAAACCUUGGAAGGCCUUUGAGACCAACCUUGAUUCCCUUACAGACCAGCUAGAGCCAGUCAGAGGCUCACAGCUGGAACACAACAGCACUUCAAUAGCACAGUAACCAAUUGAGGCUGACUUCUGUGACCUUCUGAUAUUUCAUAAAUGCACCAGCCGCAGGAACUCUUAUUUAAGUACUCCUGUUAGCCUUGUUCUUGCCUACUGACUUUACAGCCCCCUGUACAUGGCUGGGCUAGUGGGACGGAAGCCUUCCAACUGAGCAUCCCUUGCUAGAGGUCCUGUGAGUCCUGACAAAGCCUGUCUCCUGCCUUUUAAGAAUAGCAGAGUCAAAUAAAAUCUUGCCAGUGACUUUGGCCCACGCGUGGAGUGACGCCGACGGAUCUGCCUGAAAUGGAGACAUUAAAGAAUUUUGCAAAGCAAAGAAAAACCCACGGUUGCUUCCAUAAAUCAAAACUUCAAAUAAGAACGCAGCUUUAGCAAUUCAUUCCCUGCAGAAUUAACCUUUGUUUCCCGGCAGGCUGCUUCUAAGAAUAUGCUUCGUGCCUAAAAGGAAAUAGGAGAGCCCUUACAGAAUGGGUUUUAUGUUUACCACGCAGGAGGAAAAGCUGAAAUGAAAGCAAAGUUGAAAAGGAAGCUUGUUUCUAACUAAUCCAGCCUCUAGAUAGAAGUCCUAAGAUGCAAAAGCAAUUAUCAUAUACAUGAAUCUGUGUCCCUACUCACAGAUGCACAAAUGCCACUUCUUCGUCUGCUGUUUCUGUAACUUACUCCUGGCAAGGAUAACAGAGUUCUGGGGACUGGAAAAGGACUCAUCAUCCAGAUUCUUCUCUUCUUUAGGAUUCAACUUGGGACCUCCUCCUGGAAGUCCUCCUGGAUUUGAGAAGUACCCUUCCCCUGUGUCCCCAUAAAACCCUAUGAAUUUCUUUAUUAUUGAAUUUGUCACAUUGUAUUACAGUUAUCUGUUCAUGCGUCAAAGACAAGGGUAUUUUAUUUGACUUUAAAAAAAUCAUUAAAGUCAAAUACUUAGCACAUUGUCUGGAAUAGAAUGACAUCUCAGUAAGGUCUUAAUGAAAUAGUCAAUGGACCAUUCUGUUAACAGUUGCCUAUCGAACUCAUACUAUUUGUUGUCACUCUGCCACACACUAAGACUGUAUACAAGAAAUAUAACAUGUAAUAACAGUGGUUGCUAUCAUUUUUGAAUAUCUAUUCCAAGUCAGGUACUCUGCUAAUUGCUUUACAAAUGGGUUUCACCUGAAUACGUCGCAGCAGCUAUGACCUUCAUUUCAUAGAUCAGACUGAGACCAUAGUAGAUGAACUGACUUUUCCCCAAAGACACACAACAGGCAAGAGGAAGAACCGGGAGUUGAACCAGUCUCCAAAUCCUCUGAUCUAUUACCCUAUAGGAGUUUGCUUCUCUGACCUUAAGAAACAUGUGAUAUAAUGGGGGUUCGGUGGAGUGGUGUCAAAAGUACAAUGCAUUUGAAAUGCUGGAAAACCAUUAAGUGUCAGACGGUAGGGUGGUGCCUUCAUGGAGAAACAGGGAUCAACGAAGCAGGAGCUCCCUGUGUACUGGAUUAAUCAAGGAAAGAUUCAUGGCGGGUCCAGAACUUGAACUAAAAUCAGAAUGGAAUUUAAAUAUAUGGAGAAGAGAAGGUAAAGUAGAGAAACUUACGUUCAUUGAGUACAGAACAUUGGUCUUGGUAAAGAGAUUGGGUUUUGAAACUGGCAGAAUCUGGCACUGAAUUCAAACCUGCUAUUUUAAAGCUGUGAGAACUUUUGCAAUUUGCCCAACCUUUUGAGCCUCUCCACCACCAUAUGUAAAUAGGCAUAGUAAGACCUCUGGUAUCAGUUAAGAAUGCUUUCAUAUGCAAGUAAAAGACAUGUUGAAAAAUGGUGUAAAACAUAAGGACACAUAUGCAUCUCAGGGUUUGUUGAGUAAUUCAGUGGUGUUAUCAAGAACUCAGGCUCUUUUUGUACAUGCGGUCUCCCAUGCCCAGCUGUUAACUCCUCAUCCUUAUGUGUGAAAGAUGGCUGCCACAGAACCAGCCAUUGCAAUCACAUUCCAAGGCAGAAAGGAGGAGUAUGGGAAGUGCUAACACAACUUGUCCUUUUUAUCAGGAAACUAACUAACGCCUUCCCAAACACUCUUCUUUAGGAAUUUCUCCCCUUUUAUUUCAUGGAACAAAGCUGGGUCUCAUGUUGACUCUGAGCUGCAGGGAGAAUCUAUCUAUCUGCAGCUAUCUAGCCUGACUUUAUUCUCUCCAUAGUAGGAGGUAAGUAGAGGAAAACAGGUUGAGAAUGGCUUUUGGGAUAGCCAAACAAGAGCACUGGCCGUGCCUACCUCACUGGCAGUUUAAGGAUCCAGGAAAAAGAUGCAAGUAAAAGAGCAGUGAAGCACUCAUAGAAAGCAGCCAGGACAUGCUGCUCUGGGGAAACGUUGGACAAAACCAUGAUUAGGCUGGGUGCGGUGGCUCACGACUGUAAUCCCAACACUUUUGGAGGCCAAG
This 6121-nucleotide long non-coding RNA is filed under the name Homo sapiens (human). RNAcentral's name for it is "HSALNT0228316". The record is from RNAcentral. Lineage: Eukaryota; Metazoa; Chordata; Mammalia; Primates; Hominidae.